This 253-nucleotide ribosomal RNA is filed under the name uncultured bacterium. Its description in RNAcentral is "partial 16S ribosomal RNA". It matches the Rfam family "Archaeal small subunit ribosomal RNA", at positions 474 to 727 of the family's 1478-position model. The record is from RNAcentral.
UCCCAGCGGUCCAAGUCGCAACCACAAUUAUUGGGUCUAAAACAUCCGUAGCUUGCUUGAUAAGUCUCUUGUGAAAUCCGGCCUCUUAAGGGUCGAAGAGCGAGAGAUACUGUCGGGCUAGAGACCGGGAGAGGUAAGAAGUACGGUCGGGGUACCGGUAAAAUGGGUUGAUCCCGUCUGGACUAACAACAGCGAAGGCAUCUUACCAGCACGGAUCUGACAGUAAGGGAUGAAGGCUAGGGGCGCAAAAGGG